UUGAGAACUGUGGGAAUAAGAAUGCAAAGAAUCCAUUUUGAUAAAACCACACAAAGCAGCAAGGCAGACUGGGGUGGAGUUCAAGAAGGCAGACUGAUACUUCUCUCCCAAGAACAAAUUUGUGCCUCAGGGUGAGCAUAGUCUGGUGAACCCAAGAAGACCCCAGGCCCAGAAUUAAUCAAUGUGAAGUACAAACAUCUCCAGGUUAGUUCCAUAGAAACAGCAAGUAAGGAUCCCUGAAGCUAGAUGUGUUUGACUGGAGAUGCAGCAGAAUCAAGAAAUUUCACCUUACAGAUUGCAUGAUUAGUCAGGGGUCUGAGUCCAAGAAGACUGAUGAACCUUACCAGACCCAGCUGUGAUGCAGAGAUGCAGCCCUGGGCAAGAAGAGUUAAAGAAGACUGGAGAAAAUGUCCAGUCCUUCUAUAUUGUUGUCUACAGACCUGAAAGUCCUGCUGCUUAUACUUGAGGGAGAUGGAGGGGAGAAUGAAAAGGGAAAAAAAAAAUAAACAUUUUCUUAGCAGAACAAAAGAAUAACGCUACAAGGAAGCAAAGUAAAGAUGUAUACGCAUGAAUAUAAUUUAUUUGUCUCCUGAAUUAAAAUGUAAACUCAUGAA
This is a long non-coding RNA of Sarcophilus harrisii (Tasmanian devil), 614 nucleotides long. RefSeq lists it as uncharacterized. The transcript is spliced from 3 exons. The record is from RefSeq and is a predicted model, not a curated record. Lineage: Eukaryota; Metazoa; Chordata; Mammalia; Dasyuromorphia; Dasyuridae.